RNAcentral lists this ribosomal RNA (387 nucleotides) under uncultured bacterium. RNAcentral's name for it is "bacterial SSU rRNA". It matches the Rfam family "Bacterial small subunit ribosomal RNA", at positions 29 to 417 of the family's 1533-position model. The record is from RNAcentral.
AUUAAACGCUGGCGGCAUGCCUUACACAUGCAAGUCGAACGGCAGCACGGGGGCAACCCUGGUGGCGAGUGGCGGACGGGUGAGUAAAGCAUCGGAACGUAUCCUGGAGUGGGGGAUAACGUAGCGAAAGUUACGCUAAUACCGCAUAUUCUGUGAGCAGGAAAGCAGGGGAUCGCAAGACCUUGCGCUCUGGGAGCGGCCGAUGUCGGAUUAGCUAGUUGGUGGGGUAAAGGCCUACCAUGGCGACGAUCCGUAGCGGGUCUGAGAGGAUGAUCCGCCACACUGGGACUGAGACACGGCCCAGACUCCUACGGGAGGCAGCAGUGGGGAAUUUUGGACAAUGGGCGGAAGCCUGAUCCAGCCAUGCCGCGUGAGUGAAGAAGGCCU